This 152-nucleotide non-coding RNA is filed under the name uncultured Planococcus sp. The record is from RNAcentral. Lineage: Bacteria; Bacillati; Bacillota; Bacilli; Caryophanales; Caryophanaceae.
UAGGUGCUUAUGCAAAUAAGCUUAAAAGGGAAGCUUGGUGAAAAUCCAACACUGUCCCGCAACUGUAAAUUCGGAGCGAGUCAUAACAAGCCACUGUGAAAAUGGGAAGGCAUGAUGAGCGUAGAUGAAAAGUCAGGAGACCUGCCUUAUUC